Molecule: long non-coding RNA, 13247 nt
Organism: Gallus gallus (chicken)
Lineage: Eukaryota; Metazoa; Chordata; Aves; Galliformes; Phasianidae
Source: Ensembl
UUUAAACUCUGUGAAAUGGACAUGAGUGCAUUCACCCCCAUGUCAGGAUAUAUUCAGUGUAGCACAGAGGGAGGGUGUGUGUAAGCCUGAAGUAUUCUACAGGGAUGGCUGUGCUAAUCUGGGGAGUGCCUGCUCUGUUUCUAGAGCUAACUCUCUGCACCUGGUACCCCAAUCAACGCUUGUAAAACUAUCCUUCACUAUGCCAUACUUCUGCCUGCAGCAAUAUGAAUAGGAAUCAGCUUUCAGCUUCUGAUAAACCCAGCGACUCAUUGUCCAGCUUCCUGUUCCUGAUAUGCAGAACACAUGUCAGAACAACUGGAGGGAUGACAACAAUGAGAGAUGAAAAAUGGACUUGGCCAGGUCUGGUUCUGGAUACUGCAACACUUAGUAAGACAAUAAAUAACAUCUACAGGAAUGUCCAGCUGAAGAGAAAAAGGUACCAUUGGCAUUACAUACUCCCAGGGCAACCAGUAUUUGGAAACAGCAAAGUUUCUGGAAUUCAGCACUGUUGCUUAAGUACUGCUGUGGGCUGAAAGAGAUUCUACAAGUCCAGCUACAGGAGAAGCAAAGGCCUCUGCUACAGGCACAAGUGUCCUAAAAGUCAGAUGCAGAAAUUCUUCUGGAAGAGAUACCACCCAGUUUCGGACUAGCAUACUUGGAAAAUACCUACAGAACUGAAGACCUGAAUGCACAGGUUGAACUGGACUGUGCUUAUGGCCAGCAGGCAACCUAUGUCCACAAGGGGAAUGAAUCCAGGCAGUUUUCUUUGACAUAAAAAGGAAGAAGUCUGAAUGUCUGUGGUAACUGAACUAUCCAAAUCACCUUAAUCAGUAGCCUCACUUGAGCACAGGAUAAAUGAUGCAAAACAGGCCAGAUUUAUACUUAAGGUUGAUAAUAACUAAUAAUUCAGAUUCUAGAAGUUUUAAAUAUCUAUAAAAUCAAAAGAAUUGACAAUGAGAAAAAUAUGCUUUUUUACUAAAACAUUUCCACAUAUGUUUCAUGGAUAAAUACCAGCUUAUUAUUAACUUUAGCAUAUCAAAAUAAACACGCUGAGUGAUUUUUCUCAGCCUCUGAUAAUACUGAGGUGGAAUAUAAAUAUUUCAGCAGUCCAAGCUCCCACAAAAGCAGUAGAAAAUCAUAGGCAUCUAACAUCUCACCAUUCACACUGCUUCCUGGGUAUGCUAAGGAAUUCCUUUGGCUUUUUCUUCCAAGCUGAGAUGAUGAGACUGGACAGGAAUUACUAUUACUUUAGUGGCAGAUUAAUAAGAAAUUAUGUGGAAAACAUUAAAAGCGUUUGGCAUUUAUACCAGUCUGUAAUAGUACUCAAUGGUGGUCAUUCUCUUGAAGGGGAUAAAUGCUUCAAUAAUGCUUAAUGUUCAGUUUGCAGUCAUUCUUCUGGAAUAGCAGAAACUCAAAAAUACAAUUAUGAAUCUAACUUGUCUGAUGACCGUUUAAAUUCCAUUAAUAGUGGACUUAGCUGCUGUAAGAAUUUCUUAUUCUUACUGCAAUUUUUCUGUUUUGAAACAUAUAGAAAGACUAGGUUUAAGUUAUAAACAGUACAGUAAUUCAUAUUGCUUACACCCUCUGGUUGGGGACUUGUAAUUUCAUAGUUAAUGACUUCAUUGUAAGAACAGUAAGAGAAACAGAAGAUGAUAGAAUGAUUUCAGCUUCUUUAGCCUUGAAGAGCAUUAUGAAAUAUAAAGCAAGGAAAGUUAGUGAAUCUAGUGCUGCAUAAGAAGAUUGUAAGCAUACCCCUGCCUGUGAAGCUUUCAUAUUCAGUCUUUUUGUGAUUCUAUUCUGAAAAUAGUAAGAGCUGCUACUAGAUUUUAAUUCUCAUAAGUGCCCAAUAUUUACACUCCAUAAAAACAGAAGGAGAAUAUGACUUCAAAAGAUCAUCUGUUAGUACCCCAUUUUCUGCCAUAUUUUUGACUCUGUGUCCUGAGUGCAGAAUAACUCAAUUUAGCUGAUCACUAAUUUUUGUUAAUGACACUUUUUGUUUAAGUGCCUGGAGUUGGUUACUGGUCUUAUCUGAUAAGAUAAACACAUUCUUUAAAAUGUUUUAAGAUAAUAAUUACCUCAAUUAAUAGUUAUAUUUACAAUGCCUAUCGGGCCCUGUGCACAAAUCUACCCGGAAACUAACUACAACUACCUGUGAAAGAAAUGAAUGGAAAAAGAUUAAAUACAUUAUUAAAUACAAACCUGAGGAUAUUGGUCAGUGAGGUACAUUUACACACACUCUAACAUUUUAGAUAUUUAUCUUAGCAGAUACUUUUUUAGAAAACUGUGAUGUGUACAAUGCUUCAUUGAUGAUACACUUUUGACAAUGCUGUCAUUAGUGCUGUUUUAAAACAUGGAGAAAACUGUUACAGCUAAUGACAUUGAAUUCCCCAGCCUUUUAUUUAGGAAAGAAAAUCAGUAGCCUGUGUGGAAUCUGCAUGGUAGAAAAGAGGAAAAUAAUAUUAAAAAAAAUCUGCAGUGGAAAAGUGAAAUAUUAUGAAGUCUGCUUUUUAUUUAUGAUCUAAAAGAAAUUACUCUGCCUGUUAGAUGGUUAGGUUGAUAUAAUGAUUUUUUUAGGGAGCAUAGUAUUAUUCAUGAAAUGUCUGCUAACUGGAGAACCAUUCAGGAACCUGGCUUGUAUAAGAAAGUGUUGUCAGCAGUAGCAGGACAGUGAUCGUUGGCCUGUACUUUGCUGGUGAGCAUGGUUGGUGAGGUUGCAGCUAGAGUACUGUGUUCGGUUUUGGACCCCUUGUUGAAGAAAGAAAUUGAGGUUUCUGAGCAUGUCAGGGGAAGGGCAACAAAGUUGGUGAAGGGUCUGGAGUGGCUGAGGGAGCUGGGAUUGUUCAGUCUAGAGAAGAGGGGGUUCAGGGGAGACCUCACUGUCCUCUACAACUACUUGAAAGGAAGGAGACGGUGGUGACAUUGGCUUCUUCUCCUGCAUAACUAGUGGUAGUGGUAGUGGUAGUGGUAACUAGUGGAAUGGCCUCAAGAUGUACCAGGAGAGGUUCAGAUUGGACAUCAGGAAAAAAAUUUUUCUCCAAAAGAGUGAUCAGGUGCUGGCACAGGCUGCCCAGGAAGGUGGUGGAGUCACCAUCCCGGGAGGUGCUCAAGAAACAUCUAGAUCCUCAAGGAUGGGGAGGGCUGGGAGAGGGUCCAUGCUCCAUAUUCUUGGCAAAUCACCCUCUACCACCCCCCACCUACCUUGUGUUCCCAGGUCCCCCUAAGCAAUAGGUUUGCAGCAUUGGACACUGAAGGGGGGGUAUGUGAGAAGGCACAGGAAGGCUCCCCUAAGAGGUUACAAAGGGCAAGACAGUCUACUCCACAUGCUGAGACUGUCUCUGCCAGGAAAGACAGAAGGGUGGUUGUGGUAGGUGACUCCCUUCUCAGAGGAACAGAAGGUCCCAUUUGCAGACCAGACCCAAGCCGUAGGAAAGUGUGCUGCCUUCCUGGUGCCCAGGUCAGGGACAUAACUAGAAAACUCCUGAAAAUGGUUCACUCUACCAAUUACUUCCCAUUGCUCAUAGUUCAGGUGGCCAGUGAUAAAAUCGCUCAGAGAAGCCCAUGAACUAUGAAAAGAGAUUUCAGGGGUUUAGGGUGAAUAGUUCAAUGAGCAGGAGCCAUAUGGUGUUUUGUUCUAUACCUCUGGGGCUGUAAAGGACAUGCAGUGGGCUAGGAAAACACAGGUAACGAAUAAUUGGCUCAGAGGCUGGUGUCAAGGCAGGAAUUUGGGGGUUUUUGACCAUGGGGCAGUUUAUUCAGCCCCUGGCCUGUUGUCCACGGAUGGAACUCACCUGUCUCAAAUGAGUCCUAGUGCAGGAGCUAGCAGGGCUUAUUGAGAGAGCUUUGAACUAGCUAUAUGGGGGAAGGGGACAAAACAGGGCUCACCAGAGAUGAGCCUAGGGGAACAGUGCUGAAACUGGGGGUGAGGCAGGUGUCUCAUCUGAAGUGCACCUAUGCCAAUGCAUGCAGCAUGGGCAACAAACAGGAGGAGCUGUUUAGCUGCAGGCUAACUAUGACCUAGUUGCUAUUACUGAAACAUGGUGGGACCACCCCAUGACUGGAGUGCUGUGAUGGAUGGCUACAAGCUCUUCAGAAGGGAUAGACAAGGAAGGAAGGCUAGCCGGUGAUGUGGCUCUUUAUAUUAAAGAAUGUUUUGAUGUUGAAGAGCUUGGGGUUGGGAAUGAUAAAGUUGAGUGUCUAUGGAUAAGGCCUGUAGGGGUGACAUCUUGGCAGGGGGGGGUGUGUUAUAGACCAUCUAAUCAGGAUAAAGAGAUGGAUGAGUCAUUCUAUGAGCAGCUUGUGGAAGUUGCACAAUUGCCAGCACUCGUUCUCAUAGGUAACUUCAACUUCCUUGAUAUAUGCUGGAAAUAUAAUACAGUGCAGAGGAAGCAGUCCAGGAGGCUUCUAGAGUAUGUGGAAUAUAGCUUCCUUGCAAAGCUGGUACGAGAGCCUACCAGGGUGGUGCCCUGCUAGAUCUGCUCUUCACUAACAGAGAAGGACUGGUGGGAGAUGUGAGGGUUGAGGACUGUCUUAGGCAGAGUCACCAUGAAAUUACAGAGUUCCUGUAGCAAUUGGACAGAUCAGUAUGAUGGGAAAGGUGUUACAACAAAGGUGUGAUGAUGGAAGGACUGGUCACAACACCCCCAGGCAACCCUACAGGCUUCGGGAGGAGUACCCAGAAAACUGCCUGAUGGAAAGGGACCUUAGCGUACUGAUGGACGGUCAGCUGAAGAUGAGCCAGCAGUGUUCCCACGUGGCCAAGAAGGCCACUGGCAUCCUGGCUUGUAUCAGGAACGGUAUGGUGAGCAAGACUAGGGAAGUAACCCUGCUUCUGUACUGAACACUGCUGAGGCCCCACCCUGAGUGCUGUGUUCAGUUUUGGGCACCUCAGUACAGAAAGGAAAUGGAGGUGCUGGAGCAGGUCCAAAGAAGGGCAACAAGGCUUGUGAAAGGCUUGGAGAAUAUGCCCUAUGAGGUGCGACUGAAGGAACUGGGGCUGUCUAGUCUGGGGAAGAGGAGGCUGAGGGGAGACUCUAUUGCUCUCUUUAAAUACCUGAAAGGUGAUAGCAGCAAGAGUGGGGUUGGUCUCUUCACACUGGUGACAGGAUGAGGGGAAAUGGCUUCAAGUUACGCAAGGGGAGGCUUAGGUUGGAUAUCAGGAAAAAUUUAUUUACAGAAAGGGUUGUUAAACACUGGAAUAGGCUCCCCAGGGAAGUUGUGGAGUCACCAUCCCUGGAUGUGUUUAAAAACCGUUUGGAUGUGGUACUCAGGGACAUGACUUAGCAGAGGGUUGUUAGAAUUAGGAUAGUAUGGCUAGGUUGCAGUUGGAUUUGAUUAUCUUUUAAGGCCCUUUCCAAUCUGAGUAAUUCUAUGAUAGAAAAGUGCUAUAAAGGAAGGGAAGAAGGUUGCUCACUUGUAUCGGAAGACUCUAGGUUCUCACAGGAAAGCUUCACCAAGGAGGCAUCUGUAGAAAGAGAUCCUUUCCCAGUGGCAGUCAGCCCUUAAAUGAGGUCUAAGAGAGGUGCAGCCAGGCUCCACCCCUUCUGGUUGCACGGAUGAAUUGCCUUCACCUGUGCUCCCAGGGCUGACUGGGUCCUUUCCCCACGUGCUCAAUCAGUGAUUCAGGCUGUGACUCAACAGUUCCCAUACAGUUCUUUAUUCUUGGUGAUGUCAGAAGGGUGCCUAGCAAAACAACUGUCUUGAACUUCCAGAGGGUGGACAUUGACCUGUUCAGGACACUUGUUACAGGGGUCCCUUGGGAGUUGCUCCUGAAGGGUAAAGGGGUCCAGGAAGCCUGGGUGCUCCUCAAGAUGGUAAUCUUAAAGGCACAAGAACAGGCUGUUUCUGAGUGCCAUAUGGCAAACUGUAGGGGAAGAAGGCCGUGUGGAUGAACUAGGAACUAUUGUUGAGACUCUGGGAGAAAAAGAGAGUCUACAUUCUCUGGAAGAAGGGACAGGCUACUUGGGGGAGACUACAAAGAAGUUGCUAAGAUAUGUAGGGAGGAAGCUAGAAAGGCAAAGGCCUGGCUUGAACUCAGACUGGCCACUGCCAUAAAAGAGAACAAGAAAUCCUUUAACAGAUGUAUUAAUGGUAAGAGAAGAACCAAGGAGAAUUUCCAUCCUUUACUUGAUGCAGCAGGGAAUGUGACCACUGUGGAUAAGGAGGAGGCUGAGGUCCUCAGUGCCUUCUUUACAUCUGCCUUUAAUAGUCUGAUCAGUUAUCCUCAGGGCACUUUACACCCUGACCUGGAGGUCUGGGAUGGAAUGCAGAAUACACCCCUGGUGAUUCAGGAAGAGACAGAGAGCUGUUCCUCCAUCUGGACUGUCACAAGUCCAUGGGACUGGAUAUGCUCCACCCUAGGGUGCUGAGGGAGUUGGUGAUUGCUGAGCCACCUUCCACCAUCUAUCAGUGUUCCUGGUUAUCUGGAGAGGUUCCAGAGGAUUGGAGGCUUGCCGAUUAGACUCCUAUUUAAAGGAGGGACAUAAGGAGGAUCUGGGGAACUAGAGGCCUGUCAGCCUCACCUCCGUACCAGGAAAGUUGUGGAGCAAAUCACCUUGGGUGAGAUCACAUGGCACGUGCAUAGCAUCCAGGGGAUCAGGUCCAGACAGCAUGGGUUCAUGAAAGGCAGGUCAUGCUUGACCAACCUCAUCUCCUUCUAUGACCUUGUGACCAGACUAGUAGAUGAGGGAAAGGCUGCUGAUGUAGUCUACCUAGACUUCAGCAAAGCCUUUGAUACAGUCUCUCACAGUAUUCUCCUGGGCAAACUGGCUGCCAAUGACCUGGACAGGUAUACCCUUCUUUGGGUAAGGAACUGGCUAGAGGGCCAUGCCCAGUGGGUAGUAGUUAAUGGAGUUAAGUCCAGCUGGCGACCCAUUACAAGUGGUGCCCCCCAGGGGUCAGUACUGGAGCCCAUCUUGUUUAAUAUCUUUAUUGAUGACCUAGAUGAAGGGAUUGAGUGUACCCUCUGUAAGUUUGCAAAUGACACCAAGUUGGGAGGUAGUGUCGAUCUGCCUGAGGGUAGGGAAGCCCUUCAGAGGGAUCUGGAUAGGCUGAAUCGCUGGGAUGAGGUUCAACAAGGACAAGUGCCAGGUCCUGCACUUUGGCCACAAUAACUCCAUGCAACACUAUAGGCUAGGGGCAGACUGGCUAGAUGACUGUGAAGAGGAAAGGGACCUGGGGGUGUUGAUUGAUGCUCAGCUGAGAAUGAGCCAGCAGUGUGCUCAGGUGCUCAAGAGGGCCAGUGCAAUCCUGGCCUGCAUUAGAAAUAGUGUAACCAGCAGGAGCAGAGAGGUAAUCAUCUCCCCGUACUCAGCUCUGGUGGGGCUGCAGCUAGACUACUGUGUUCAGUUUUGGGCCCCUCACUACAAGAAAGACAUUGAGGCCCUGGAACAUGUACAAUAACAUUGUACAUAGAGGAAGUGGACCUGGGGGUAUUGAUUGAUGCUAGACUGAACAUGAGCCAGCAGUGUGCCCAGGUGGCCAAGAAGGCCAAUGGCAUCCUGGCUUGUAUCAGAAAUAGUGUUGCCAGCAGGAACAGGGAAACAAUUGUUCCCCUGUACUCGGCACUGGUGAGGCUGCACCUUGAGUACUGUGUAUAGUUUUGGACCCCUCACUGUAAGAAAGACAUUGAGGCCCUGGAGCGUGUCCAGAGAAAGGCAACAAAGCUGGUGAGGGGUCUGGAGCACAGGCCUUAUGAGGAGUGGCUGAGGGAACUGGGAUUUAGCCUGGAGGAGGCUCAGGGGACACCUUGUUGCACUCUACAACUACCUGAAGGGAGGUUGUGAUGAGGAGGGAUUUGGCCUCUUCUCCCAGGAAACAAAUAGGACCUGAAGAAAUGGCCACAAGUUGCACCAGAGGAGACUUAGAUUAGACAUAAGGAAAAAAUUUUUCUCUCAGAGGGUGGUCAGGCACUGGAAUGGCCUGCCCAGGGAGGUGGUGGAGACACUGUCCUUGGUGGAGUUCAAGAGAUGUCUGGACAAGGUGCCAUGAGAUAUGGUUUAAUAGCUCAGUGGAUAGUAAUGGUGAUAGAAGGAUGGAUGGACUACAUGAACUUGUAGGUCCUUUCCAACCUUGUGAUUCUAUGAUUCUAGAUGCAGUACUAAGGGAACAUGGUUUAGUGGGGAAACACUGAUAGUAGUUGACAGUUCAACUAGAUAAUCUUGGAGAUUACUUUUCCAACCUCAGUGAUUCUAUGAUAUCAGUCUCAUUUCAUGUUUUACUGUGCAGCUUUCCCUCUUCUGUCUGCAGUGUGUUCCACAGUACCUGCACAUUCAGAGGGGACCCAAGUGAGUUAGCCUUUGAUGUGCAGGUGUAUUGGCCUUCAGGUGUUCAUUUGCAUUACGCACAUAUCUAUCUUAAGUCUGUAUGUACCACAUCUAUCCAUACCUAUAUCUCUCUCUAUAUCUGUAUCUAUAUCCUCUAUAUCAUUUAUCCAUCUUAACUUUCCUUUAGCAACCUUACUUCAGUUUUACUGAUGAGUUUGCUCAAAUCAGGGUGAUGCGUACUAGACAGACAGAAAUUUGGUCAGACCUCAGAACACUAGAAACCUCCUGAGGUCCCUUCCAACCUCUAGUCCUGUGAUCAGGAGGAACAGAAAGCCAAGGCAUGGAAAAGGAAAGAACAGGAUCCAUUUAGACCCAGAAGAACUGUGUCCUCAUUUCAUGGUGCUGCCUUAUAAUCUCUGCACUCUAAAAGAAAAAGUGCAGAAGCAGUAGGUAAGCACACAGGACAAUCUCCUUGCAAAAUAAGUAACAACCACAAACGCUUCAGUACAGAGGAAGUCCCUGAAGCACAGGGAAAUCCAGCAACAAUCCCAACACUGGCAAAGAGGAAACGUGUAGAAGUCUAUCUAUGGCUUUGCGCUCCGGGAAGGUGCAAGUAAUCAUUAGGAAAGUAUUUCUUCAUCAUACAUUUAUACAUUAGCACUUUGAAGAUGCCAAAUCUGUCUGUCCCAUAAGAGAAAUUGUAAAGGCUUCAAAAUGUAACAUAUUUAUGAAAUACUGCUUUAUCUUGAUGUUAGGAUCUUCCCAGAACUAAACAGUUCCAGUUUUCCCUUAAUUUAAUUUCUCCCUCUCUCAGAUUUCUAGGAAGCCUAUAAUCAAUCUGGAGAUGUAAUUCUACCAAAUACAGUGUAUCAGUGUGCCCGGGAGGGAUCCACGUAGAGUACUAUUGUAUCAGACUUCCUGGAUAUAUAGUUUCAUGCUUAUUUAGCCAUUUAAAGUAAGCGAGGGGAGGAAUGAAUAAGUAGAAUCUCAGAGGUAAAUGUUACCUAUUAUUAGCAGCUCUGCUGUCACCUCAGUGAUGUAUUAGAGGACGUGUUACAUCCUGUUUGAAAAAAAUAUUUUCUACAUCCCAUUCUCAAUGGCAUAAGAUAAAACAGAUUAGAAAAAAAAAGGUGGAAAAAGGUAAAGCCUUGUCAAUACCAUGUAAUGGUAAGAGCAAUGCAGCUGGUAAGUCACCUGGGUAUUUAUAGCUAUUUUCCCAGAGAGAAGCACUAUUAGUAAACUCCACUAAUAAACAAUAGCUUAUUGCAGUAAGAGAAAUAACAUACUGAUUUCAUUUUAAAUAGUGUCUUUGAUCCCCAACUGGGGAAAAAAAAAAAAAGGCAUUAAGAUUUUAUGGCCUCCAUCCUAUUCAUCCUGCUUAUUGGUUAUUUAAUGGGAAGGGAUAAACCUGUAUCUCUGGAAAACUUAAGACCACUUUGCACUUCUGUAUUCCUUCUUAGUGCAAGGUCUCUGCAGGGUCUGCAUACAGUGCUGUAGGGUGACUCAAUUUAGUUCCAGUCAUUGAUAUGAUAUGACAUUAUGUCUCCUAAUGUUUGUGUUAUAUUAGAUCCUUAUAUAUUAAGAUCUCCAUUGUGCUAGAUGCUGUAGAGAGAUUUAUCAGAAAAGUCAGUCCACAGUCCAGACAAUCUAUAGCCUAGGUCAGAGAGGGCAAUGGAAAACUUAGCUAGCCAUUAGAUUCAGUGAAGUUCACAAACACAGCAAUAGAAUUGAAACAACUAAACAAAUGCACACAGGAAGUCUGUGGAAGAUUAAGGCACAAAUAAUCUCUGGGCUCAGUUCUGCUAUCCCACAGGACAAAUUUGGAAAAGUUCAGUUCUGUGCGUGGGUGAUGAACCAACAGAAAGUAAUACACUGGGUUACAUUCCCCAGGUGUCAGGCUCAUCUAAGAUUUACAAAUGGUUAGUUUUAGAUCAGAAUGUUCUAGGUUGUAACAAACUAUUUAUUAAAAUAACUCGAGGAAUCAGAGAAUCAUUGCCUUGAGUCAAAUUUUUCCUUUAGAGAGUAGUUCCCUUUCAGACUGAAGUCUACUUAGUAAAUAUAUAGUACUUUUUGUGUGAAUAGAUGUUCAAACUAAGCAGAGGUUUCUUACCUCUGAGUGACAUGGCAGUAGGAUUAAACUGGUCAGAUGUCUCAGCUGCAUGUUCUACGCAGGUUUUUUUAGUUUGGCCAGAAAUUAAUGGAGGGGAUGCCACCCCAACAACACUCACUUGUCUGAACCAGAACACCACUGUUACAGAAGGGCACCUGUACUGAGCCAACCUCCCUAUGUUUGGGUAAUCUCGAUAUAAAGAAAAGCUCCCAAAUUCUCUCUUUAAAUCAGCUUUAUAUCUCUUGCAGCCCAAAGAAAGGCAGGAGGUAUCUAUUGUAGGCUAGCAUCUGACUCUUACUGAUUAAAUAUCUUGUAGUUUGAAUAUUUAACCAGACCUUGUCCACAGCACUACAGAUUCCUGGCUCUAGAAAUAAUUUAAGCAAACAUGAUUUCUCCUGCAGUGUGGUGUUAGACUAGAAGACUGAUAUGAAGAAGGAAAAAUUUAGAUUUAGUUGAAUAGAUAUUCUAAUCAUUUUCAAGUAUGAGCAAGAUCCAGUAGCGAUUUUAAAUAUUAACAUUAAUCUUCCUAGCAGUGUGUGCAAGGGAGUUACACCUCUCAUCCACAUUCAGAAAAAGAUGUUUUUGUUUGCCAGUUCUCCUAUUACUUUGGCCUCUGUAAUAACAAGUAGUGCCCUCUCAAAUUACACUUUCUGCUACUAGAAAACUAUGAUGCAGUUGCUGUCACUGAAACCUGGUGGGAUGGUUUCCACAAGUAGAGUGAGGCUAUCAUCAUGUACAAGCUGCUCAGGCUACCUGGGGCUCUAAGCAAUCUGAUCAAGCUGUACACAUCCCUGUUCACUGUAGUUAGACUAGAUGACCUUUAAGGGUCCCUUCCAACUCAAACAACUCUGUGAUUCUAUGACAUAUUCCUAAGAAAUGUAUGCAUGUACAUGUGGCUUAAAUGGCCUUUUUUUAUUUUUAAAAGACCAGGCUUAAUGUUACAUCUGAAUUAAAGCAAUCUUCAGUUUUAAGAAGCUUUUGAUUUCUUUGAAAGUGGAUGGAUUUAUCAAGCCAGAGCUGGAACAAAAUUAAUUGUGAACCUUAAAAGAGAGAGAGAGAUUAUGUUUCCAAAACAUGAGGACAAGUAUGACCUUACUGUAAAACUAUGUACUUUAGCCUCUGGGUAAAAGUGGUGCAUGAGAGGUUUAUUUAUGUUUAGGUGUGUAAAUAAACAGUAAGCCUUUGGACACUCUUCUAAUAUUUCAAAUGGAGUCUGCCAGCAGUCUUUUAUUUCUGUUACGGCUUCAGGACAUUAAGACCACAGAAACACAGCUAAAUUAGAUGUUGCAAAUGCAGAAGAAUUCAUGGCACCUCUUGCUUUCACAUCAGAGGGCCCUGAUUCAGUUGAGCAGUGCUUUAUUUAAAAGGUAGGGAUAGCAGCAGUCUGGCAUGCUGCCCUCAGACUAAACUGUUUUUCCUAUGUAAAGGUAGCAGAACCAGGUCCUUUGUUUUAAUAGAUCUGAUGAUUAAACAAGGAUAGUCAUGACCAAUAUAGGGUUACCUUGAAAAUUAUACUGAAUGCAUUUAUACAAAUAUAGUGUGUGGGAGUUUUACCCUUAGAGGUUAACAAACAUCUUGCUCAUAGAGCCCUACACAGUAGAUUUUAUAGAGGUAAAAUAUGCCUGAAAGGAUGUGAGCCAUAAGACAAUCAAUUAUCAGAAAAUUGUAUCCUUUCCACAUGUAACUUUUCCAAGUCUCAAGCCUUUCUGAAGCAUUACUGUAUUACUUAGAAAGUGUUAAAACAAUAAGAACAAAAUAGCCUAGAUUAUUAACUGGGGUAUAAUAAUUAAUAUUAAAUAAUUUACUUAACACCUGAAAUGACAAUAGCCAAUCACUGACCAUUGCUGUUUUCAUGCCUCCUGUAAUCAAUUGGUUUUUAUAUACAAGGGCAAAAUUAAUAGUCUGAUAUAGAUACCAUUUCUGCACUUAGCCUGGAAGCAACUUGUAUGAUUGAAAGAGCCUGUUCUGAAGUGGCAAACACUGUAUUAUACCCUUCAUAGCACUCUGCUGUAGUCCAGGUUUAGGCAGAGAGCCAUAUAAAUUCCACAUUAAUCUCCUCGAAAUUUAGAUGUGAUAACGUACAAGCACUUGGAUGCUUCAGUAACCACCCUUUUGUAGAAUAUUCCACUAAUUCGUCAAAGAAUUAGGAGUUCUGUGCUUUCUUCAAGCUGAGAAUGUUUGAACCCAUAUCUUUUGUAUGUUAUGGAAGUGCUUAGGCCAUGAGGUAUUCUGGUUAACUUGUUCUCCACCCUUUCUCUUGAAGUACGGCCAGAAAUGCUGCAUCAUGGGCCAGGAGGAAUACAGCCAAGAAGAAACCUGACUCUAACUUAAGGUUCAGGCAUUUCAUUAGAAAAGGAAGAAAAAAAUAACAGGGAUGCCAGCACUCAUCCCUAGUACUUGUGCACAUUAUAUAACUAUUAAAACAGUCCUGAGAGCAGGGUAAGGGCCAUAAAGUCCACCAUUAUUAAGGACUCACAUGAGAAGACAACUAAAUAUGUACAGUCUUUUUCUGCUUGUAAUAGCUCUGUGAAAUACAGUUUCAAUAAAUCUUAAGUCCUUUCUCAAGCCUAUAGGUUAUGCUGUUGUAACUUUUUUUUUUUAAUUAACACUUGAUUCCUGUUAGGACCUUUUGAACAUGUUAUCAAGUGCUUGGUUCCCAACCAAAUCAUCACCUUCUAGCUAUUGCACAUUUGGAAGACAGUUUACGUAGGCUAUUUAUUAAGGAAAUACAAGUAAGUACACUCAUUUUAAUCAUCUGCCAACACCAAAUAUGAUGCAACACCAAAGGUUAAAAUAAGAUGCAGAGGACACAUUUCGUGUAAAAUUUUUAGAGUGUAGUUAUCAGUGUACUCACAGAUCUACACUUACUGCUACUU